AGUGGCGAACGGGUGAGUAAUAUAUCGGAACGUGCCCAGUCGUGGGGGAUAACGUAGCGAAAGUUGCGCUAAUACCGCAUACGAUCUAAGGAUGAAAGCGGGGGAUCGCAAGACCUCGCGCGAUUGAAGCGGCCGAUAUCAGAUUAGGUAGUUGGUGGGGUAAAGGCUCACCAAGCCAACGAUCUGUAGCUGGUCUGAGAGGACGACCAGCCACACUGGAACUGAGACACGGUCCAGACUCCUACGGGAGGCAGCAGUGGGGAAUUUUGGACAAUGGACGCAAGUCUGAUCCAGCCAUUCCGCGUGCAGGAUGAAGGCCCUCGGGUUGUAAACCGCUUUUGUACGGAACGAAAAGGUUUCUAUUAAUACUAGGAGCUCAUGACGGUACCGUAGGAAUAAGCACCGGCUAACUACGUGCCAGCAGCCGCGGUAAUACGUAGGGUGCAAGCGUUAAUCGGAAUUACUGGGCGUAAAGCGUGCGCAGGCGGUUAUAUAAGACAGAUGUGAAAUCCCCGGGCUCAACCUGGGAACUGCAUUUGUGACUGUAUAGCUAGAGUACGGUAGAGGGGGAUGGAAUUCCGCGUGUAGCAGAGAAAUGCGUAGAUAUGCGGAGGAACACCGAUGGCGAAGGCAAUCCCCUGGACCUGUACUGACGCUCAUGCACGAAAGCGUGGGGAGCAAACAGGAUUAGAUACCCUGG
Molecule: ribosomal RNA, 700 nt
Filed under: uncultured beta proteobacterium
Lineage: Bacteria; Pseudomonadati; Pseudomonadota; Betaproteobacteria
Description: bacterial SSU rRNA
Rfam family: Bacterial small subunit ribosomal RNA
Source: RNAcentral